CGCGCAGGCGGCCUUAGAAGUCAGGCGUGAAAGCCCCGGGCUCAACCUGGGAAUUGCGCUUUGAUACUCUUUGGCUGGAGUUCGGGAGAGGAGAGUGGAAUUCCCAGUGUAGAGGUGAAAUUCGUAGAUAUUGGGAAGAACACCGGUGGCGAAGGCGGCUCUCUGGACCGAUACUGACGCUGAGGCGCGAAAGCGUGGGAGCAAACAGGAUUAGAUACCCUGGUAGUCCACGCUGUAAACGAUGUGUGCUAGACGUUGGGGGGCCUAGCCCUUCAGUGUCGCAGCUAACGCGUUAAGCACACCGCCUGGGAGUACGGCGCAAGGUUAAA
RNAcentral lists this ribosomal RNA (329 nucleotides) under uncultured bacterium. Its description in RNAcentral is "bacterial SSU rRNA". It matches the Rfam family "Bacterial small subunit ribosomal RNA", at positions 568 to 898 of the family's 1533-position model. The record is from RNAcentral.